RNAcentral lists this ribosomal RNA (492 nucleotides) under uncultured bacterium. RNAcentral's name for it is "partial 16S ribosomal RNA". It matches the Rfam family "Bacterial small subunit ribosomal RNA", at positions 29 to 507 of the family's 1533-position model. The record is from RNAcentral.
AGUGAACGCUGGCGGUAGGCCUAACACAUGCAAGUCGAACGGCAGCACAGUAAGAGCUUGCUCUUACGGGUGGCGAGUGGCGGACGGGUGAGGAAUACAUCGGAAUCUACUUUUUCGUGGGGGAUAACGUAGGGAAACUUACGCUAAUACCGCAUACGACCUACGGGUGAAAGCAGGGGAUCUUCGGACCUUGCGCGAUUGAAUGCGCCGAUGUCGGAUUAGCUAGUUGGCGGGGUAAAGGCCCACCAAGGCGACGAUCCGUAGCUGGUCUGAGAGGAUGAUCAGCCACACUGGAACUGAGACACGGUCCAGACUCCUACGGGAGGCAGCAGUGGGGAAUAUUGGACAAUGGGCGCAAGCCUGAUCCAGCCAUACCGCGUGGGUGAAGAAGGCCUUCGGGUUGUAAAGCCCUUUUGUUGGGAAAGAAAAGCAGCAGGUUAAUACCCAGCUGUUCUGACGGUACCCAAAGAAUAAGCACCGGCUAACUUCGUG